AACGAACGCUGGCGGCAGGCCUAACACAUGCAAGUCGAACGAACCCUUCGGGGUGAGUGGCGCACGGGUGCGUAACGCGUGGGAAUGUACCCUUGGGUGCGGAACAACGUCUGGAAACGGACGCUAAUACCGCAUAAUGACUCCGGUCCAAAGAUUUAUCGCCCAGGGAUCAGCCCGCGUUAGAUUAGAUAGUUGGUGAGGUAAUGGCUCACCAAGUCUACGAUCUAUAGCUGGUCUGAGAGGAUGACCAGCCACACUGGGACUGAGACACGGCCCAG
Molecule: ribosomal RNA, 278 nt
Filed under: uncultured bacterium
Lineage: Bacteria
Description: partial 16S ribosomal RNA
Rfam family: Bacterial small subunit ribosomal RNA
Source: RNAcentral